AGUGAACGCUGGCGGCAGGCCUAACACAUGCAAGUCGAGCGGCAGCGCGGGGGCAACCCUGGCGGCGAGCGGCGGACGGGUGAGGAAUUCGUCGGAAUCUGCCUUUUUGUGGGGGAUAACGUAGUGAAACUUACGCUAAUACCGCAUACGUCCUACGGGAGAAAGUGGGGGACCGCAAGGCCUCACGCAGAAAGAUGAGCCGACGACCGAUUAGCUAGUUGGUGGGGUAAAGGCCCACCAAGGCGACGAUCGGUAGCUGGUCUGAGAGGAUGAUCAGCCACACUGGGACUGAGACACGGCCCAGACUCCUACGGGAGGCAGCAGUGGGGAAUAUUGGACAAUGGGCGCAAGCCUGAUCCAGCCAUGCCGCGUGUGUGAAGAAGGCCUUCGGGUUGUAAAGCACUUUUGUCCGGAAAGAAAUCCCUGGAGCUAAUACCUUCGGGGGAUGACGGUACCGGAAGAAUAAGCACCGGCUAACUUCGUG
RNAcentral lists this ribosomal RNA (484 nucleotides) under uncultured bacterium. RNAcentral's name for it is "partial 16S ribosomal RNA". It matches the Rfam family "Bacterial small subunit ribosomal RNA", at positions 29 to 507 of the family's 1533-position model. The record is from RNAcentral.